AGAGAUGUGUGAUGACGCAUAUCAAUAAGCGGAGGAAAAGAAACUAACAAGGAUUCCCUUAGUAACGGCGAGUGAAGCGGGAAGAACUCAAAUUUGAAAUCUUCAAGGUUCUACCUUGACGAAUUGUAGUUUAUAGAAGUGUUUUCUGUUAGUGGAGUGGCAAAAGUUCUUUGGAAUAGGACAUCAUAGAGGGUGAGAAUCCCGUAUUUGGUCAUUCUUCCUAGCGUUGUGAUACACUUUCAACGAGUCGGAUUGUUUGGGAAUGCAGUCCAAAAUGGGUGGUAAAUUUCAUCUAAAGCUAAAUAUUGGCGAGAGACCGAUAGCGAACAAGUACCGUGAGGGAAAGAUGAAAAGAACUUUGAAAAGAGAGUUAAACAGUACGUGAAAUUGUCAAAAGGGAAGCGUUUGACACCAGUGUUGUUUUUCCGAAAAUCAAUUACGAAUGUUUUAUUUUUGAAGAGUUAUGACUUCAUCGGCUUGCUCUCUUCUUUAUGAAACUUUCUUAAUGCACUUUUCGGUUAACAAGUCAACAUCAAUUUCUUUUGUUGUAAAAGAGUAUGAGGAAGGUGGCUUUCUUUUCGGAGAAAGUGUUUAUAGCCUUGUACUCUGCAAUCGAAGAGAUUGAGGUCUGCAGCGUAGAUCCUUCGGGGUUAGAUACACUUUGUGCUAAGUUAUAGCUUUUCAUAGACAACUUGUUGACUAUGUUAAGUCUUGUAGCUUACUCGCUGACGCUAUUUUACCUACGCUUAGGAUGUUGACGAUCAGCUGAGCGCG
This 774-nucleotide ribosomal RNA is filed under the name uncultured Neocallimastigales. RNAcentral's name for it is "partial large subunit ribosomal RNA". It matches the Rfam family "Eukaryotic large subunit ribosomal RNA", at positions 23 to 648 of the family's 3401-position model. The record is from RNAcentral. Lineage: Eukaryota; Fungi; Neocallimastigomycota; Neocallimastigomycetes; Neocallimastigales.